Molecule: long non-coding RNA, 772 nt
Organism: Lycium ferocissimum
Lineage: Eukaryota; Viridiplantae; Streptophyta; Magnoliopsida; Solanales; Solanaceae
Exons: 2
Source: RefSeq, a predicted model, not a curated record
UAGCUUAGAAUUUCUGAUGAGUUGGUGGUUGAGACAUAGUUACCUUAGAAAGGUGGCUGUAGUGCCUUUAAACCUUCAACCACCAAAAACUACUCACUUUAAUUUUGUGGAGACAUGUGCUCAUUCUACAUUCUUUUAUUUCCCCCUAUAAAUAAGAGCUUCACUUGAAUGCAUUUUCCCAUUGAAAGCUAGCCAUCUUAGAUAUAUUCCAUACUAAUAUGCCUAUUCUCAAUAAUCAAAUUAUGUCUCUUUUCUUGAAAGCCAAUGAAACAAAUGGAGAAAGAAGAAAACGAAGGACAAAGCCCUUUCGAAGUUCGCUGGAGGCAACCUCGUAAACCAUUCUGGAACACUCAUUUGAGCAAGAAAGUUGGAGCUAGUACAAAGAUGAAACGACGAGGAUGAUGUAGUUUUAGCCAACCUCAACCUCGGACCUUCAUCUUUAAGGUCGAAAAUGGCGAAGACACGUGGAACCUUCAUCACCACUAUGCACAUAAUUUUCAUUCAAGAAAGUAUUGUGUAUGGCACGAAAGAUAAAGAGGAUGACUCUAAACUGAGGCCUAUACAUUCAUUAUUUAACUUGUUAUAGCAAUCAAGUUUACCAUUUAUUGUAGGUGAUCAAUGAACAUUUACUAAGUAGAGCUGUAUGUAAUUACUUUUUUUUCCGGGUGGCAAUCCCUUUCAUAUAUGAAAUGUAAGUACACGAAAAGAAAGGGGUAAAUAGUGUUGAAAUAAUAUGAUUGUACAAGUAUUUAUUACGUGUAUAAAACCUAAA